Molecule: unclassified non-coding RNA, 344 nt
Filed under: Hevea brasiliensis (rubber tree)
Lineage: Eukaryota; Viridiplantae; Streptophyta; Magnoliopsida; Malpighiales; Euphorbiaceae
Source: RNAcentral
UAAAUUCAGAUGAAAAGGAUCAUCUGCUAUUUCUACAAGAUGUAUGCAGGGCUUUAUUUGGUAAGUAAAUCAACUGCCCGCUUUGUUCUGUCUUCACUUUUAUCAUUCAAAGGGUCAGCAAGUUUGUCUCUGUACGAUAUGCAGGACUGGUAGGAAGUUUAUACAACUUUUGGAACAGACAUUCGGAAUCAAUUUUUCAUUUUCAGAAACAAUCAGAAUUUCCAGUAGAUGUGAGAUACUUCGUCUUUAAUUUCUGGCAAUUGCUCUUCAACUUAUAUUGCUGCAUCCCAGCUCCUUCGUGAAGCUCAAGACUGCAGAGUGUGCAUUGGUUCUCAAUUGAUGAU